GACUUCGCUGGACUUCUUCUGUAUGGGAACAGUGGCCUUGAAAAUGAGUCGGUCUUCACUUCCAGGCCUGGCUGGCGGGCUUCCCAGGGGGUGCACUGUCCAUCAGAGGUGACUUGGGGACCCCUGGAGGACUCCGGGUCAGCGACUGCAGAGCGCCGGGAUCCUGAAGGCGUCUGGGGCCUGGCCCCUGACGCAUGCGCCGUGCAAUCGCUUCCCUUAGGCUCCCUGCACAGAUGCUCAGAUUUUGCCCUGAUCCCGAGGCGGCCUGGGAAUUCAUUUCCUGCUGACUGCACUUCCGCUUCUGGAAGGUGAUAGGAAAGAAGCCAACGUGAAGACCCCGACCUUCUAAACUUCCUGAUGCCCAUUUUCGGAUUGAGACCCUCGGUUCUUCAUGACGAGCUCUCCGGAAGCCAGACAGCCUGGGUGCACUAGGAGGCCUUGUGGUAUUUCCCAGCAUCCCUUGGGAAUUAUGUGCCUCUUUGUUUUGGAAAGUGUGAUAGUUAACAGUGGUGUCAGCUUUAGGAAGAAAUGCCUGCUGAUUGGUUUAGCACGGUUCGGGUUGUGUCUGGAUGAUGGACAUACAGAAGGGGGAGGACUCACGCUGGGUGUGGGAGACACCAACCAAUGGGCUUCUACCCUGGGUGGAAUCAAAAGGGAAAGAAGGAAGUCUCCUUCUGUUGCUUCGGAGGAGCUCCAGUCUUCACCGUCACCUUUGGGCAUCCGUCUCCAGGCUUCCAGGACAGACCCUUAGGCUUCCUGACAGGAUUUGCAUGGGACUGCGAGGGGAGCUCCAGGCCUUUGACUUGUGACUGGGUCCUUUGGCUCUCCAGCGGGCAGAUGGCCCUUUUGCACUCUUCCACACCUGACUCUGUGGGCGGCCAUUAUAAGCCGACCUCGUAAAUCUCUAGUUAUUUAUCUAUCUAUCUAUCCAUCCAUCAUGUAUCUUAUAUUAAAUCAGUUCCUCUAAUGAACACUGACUGAUACAGAGAGGGAGGGACUACAUCAUCUGGAUAUCACCUUUCCACCUUUUCCAGCUCCUGGUAGCCCCCAGUGUUCUUGGUACGGGGCAGCACUAACUCUGAUACUCACAUAACCUUUCUUUUGUGCAUAUCUGUGUCUGUGUUCAAAUUUCUUCCUUUUACAAGGACAUGAGUUAUAGUGGGUUAGGGCCCACCUCGUGUCUUCAUCUUGACUAUGUCUACAAAGAGCCUAUUCCUAAACAAGGUCACAUUCUGAGGCACUGGGAGGUAGGAUGUCAGUCUGUCUUUGCUGCGGGGAACAGUUCAUAAUGCCACCUCCAGAAACUUCGGACUCACAGCCUCAAAUGUAAUGCCCGGCAUCACAGCUGACCAUGCACUAGAUAUUUCCAGCCCUGACAACAAUAGCUGCCAGAUGUGACAUGGAGAGAUGUGUUUUAUGGAGGUGAGGGGUCCAGGAGACACUAAUCAGGUAUCUGGACCUCAUUGGUCCCACAAGACACGACAACAGAGUUGGAUCAGGAGGGAACCAUAUCCUGAAAAAACCCCACAAGGUACAUGACCCACCUCUGAAUAAUAUAGGACAAACUAUACUUCCAAGAUACAGCUCAGCCCCAUUCAGCAUGAAUUUGAGUCAGCACAGUCAAUUAAUCUUAUCAGUAAUGACUUGCACACCAGAUGAUUCAAUCUGUACACCGGAAACGGCCACUGUUGGUGGUUGUGUUGCCUGGCUCUCCCUUCUGCUGUUUCUUCCCCCACCUGCUCCUUUAAUAUGUUGGCUUAGUUCUCUGCCUCCUCCUUCUGUCCUGGUUUGCUUUUAGCUUCCUUCCCAGUGGAGGUCAAAGGUCACAUAAGGAGAAGAAUCAAAUAGCUUGGUAUAAAACAAAAGAACCUUUAACAAAGCGG
Molecule: long non-coding RNA, 1883 nt
Filed under: Heterocephalus glaber (naked mole-rat)
Lineage: Eukaryota; Metazoa; Chordata; Mammalia; Rodentia; Bathyergidae
Description: lncRNA (ENSHGLG00000048148.1)
Source: RNAcentral